AGCGAACGCUGGCGGCGUGCCUAAUACAUGCAAGUCGAACGAAGUGGCGCACGGGGGUGUAAUAUAUAGUUAAUCUGCCCUACACAGAGGAACAACAGUUGGAAACGGCUGAUAAUACCUCAUAGUGUAGUAUGAGACUGUAUCGUAUCAGCUAGUUGGUAAGGUAAUGGCUUACCAAGGCUAUGACGCGUAACUGGUCUGAGAGGAUGAUCAGUCACAUUGGAACUGAGACACAGUCCAGACUCCUACGGAAUGCAGCAGUAAGGAAUAUAGCGAAAUGGGGGAAACCCUGACGCAGCAACGCCGCGUGGAGGAUGACACUUUACGAAGCGUAGACUCCUUUUAUCAGGAAAGCGGUACCUAAUGAGUAAGCACCGGCUAACUCCGUGCCAGCAGCCGCGGUAAUUC
RNAcentral lists this ribosomal RNA (408 nucleotides) under uncultured bacterium. Its description in RNAcentral is "partial 16S ribosomal RNA". It matches the Rfam family "Bacterial small subunit ribosomal RNA", at positions 29 to 526 of the family's 1533-position model. The record is from RNAcentral.